UUCUAAAUGAGAAGGUAGCUGAGGUCUCUCUGCGUUCAGCAGGAGCCACAAGGAAGGAGUCCUCUCGCUUUGCCCAGGUCACCUCCUUCUGUCCAUCACUGCUGGCUUGUUUAUUCCCUCACUGGCUCACAUAGCUAUCGCAGGGCCCAAGCACUCCUGCUGUUGGAGGACUUGCCCCUCAUCAUAUUGGAAUAUGACAUUGCACCUGCAUCUCACUCCAGGAGGGUGCUUUGGCUUCUUGCAGAGGACAGCAGCUGCCAGGCAGUUUUGCCUCUUGUGAGAAGAGUGGCCAUGGGACCCACUGGGCUGCUCCAGGUGUUUCCUCGCCUCCUCUUCUGAAAAUCCAGGGAGGCCAUGCAGGCUCCUCCAGGCUGCUUGGUGUGGUCAGGCCGUGAGUGGUUCCAGCAGGCGGGAGCCUAUGUUGGCGCCGGAGUGGGUGCAAGUCAACCCACAUUCCAUCGCCUCCUCCUUUCUGCCCGCAGGAGCCUUCUUCUUUAUUAGGCAUCGCCCCAGCAAUCAACUCAUCUGAUCUUCACAGCAGCCCUGCAAGGAGCAGCAUUGUGGAAGGAGCUAGGGAUGUUAAAAUGAAUAAGAUCCAGCCCCUCACCCUCAGGGACCCCACAGCCUCGCACAGAAGGAAGUUGACAGUGGAGCCUCUGCCCCUCCAGACACACUGGGAGGUUCUGGCCUGUGGAGGAGCCCAUCGAGGUUUGAGUGAGGGAGCCGACAAAGAAGUGAAUGCAGGAACCAUCACUGGCAACAGAAGCAAUGGUCCUCCAUGUGUCCUUACAUCACUGAAUCUUCCCAGGGGCCUUGUGAACCAUGACUGAUGCUCACCCUCAUUUGCAGAAUUGUCUUGAGCAGAAGAUCCUGGCAACACGGUGAGCACCUAGGGAUUUAGGGAAGCCACUCUAGCACUCUGGCAUUGAUUGUCCUGGCAGGAGACAGAUGACAUCAGUUACUGGAGUUCCCUGCUACAAUGGAGAUACGGCCAAGGUGAUGUGGGGCAUGCGGGAAGAGGUGCUGGGUGGGCUGGCCAAGGAGGUGGACCUUGGAGAAGAACAUACCAGGCUGUCCAGGAGACGUGGGGAAGCUUUGGAGGUGGCAUGGAGCUUGGAAAAGGGCAGACAAUUCCCUGUAUAGGAAGCACAGGCAGUUUGAAGUAAGCAGCAAGAGAUGGGGUUGGUGAGGCAGGCUGGUAGCAGGUGAAGGGGAGAGUGGGCUUCGCUCUAUGCUGAGUAGGGAGCUAUUGGAGGGCUGACGAAAUAGAGUGUCCAGCUCAGGAGUGCAUUUCAGAAAAGCUGCUCCAGCCUGGAGGGCAGUUUGCCUGUAACAAAGAGGUCUCCUUAGAGGUCCUUGGACCACCCCAGGAUCUAGGAGUAGAGCAGCGGCAAAGGGGAUGAGAAUAAGACAAAGGAUAGGUAGAAAUGCCCAUCACUGAGGGGACUUGGAGACCUACUGGAUGAGGGGACAAAUGGAAUCUGAGGUUGUGAGUUAAAACUGUGACUCUAAGGCAAUGGCAAAGAAAUUUAAAAUAAUGGGGGCUGAAGAAGUAAAAGCCCAGGUACCUGGUCCCAGGUUGGUCUAGUAGCUCCACAAACAUCAGAGCCCCAGAUUCCUCCCACCUUUUUAGUCAUACCCAGCCUUGAACAUGCGGCCCAGAAAGGCUGUUCCAACUCCCGUUGUCACAUCUGCAAUCCACUUAGUGGAAUGAAAGAAAAGAGGGAGGGGGGCGCACUCAUUCAUCUCAAAGAUAUGACUUCGAAUUCCACACAUCUCUGCUCACAUCCUAUUGGUAGAGCUUAGAGGCAAGACCAUACAUAGCUGUAAGGGAUGCUGGAAACGGUAGGCUGCCAAGUGCCCAGCUAAACAUUCUUCCAUUGUGGAACAUGGUGGGGGAUGGAGCUAUGGGAGGACAACUAGGGAGGUUGUGCAAGCCCAGUGGCCACUCUGAGCUUGAUAUUUCUCAUUUACAAAACAUAUUCCAUGAAUAGUCACACUUCCUUUUUUACCAAAUAAAUGUAAAUAUGAUCCCUUCUCUGUCAACUGCACGCUGUGUUUUCCUGGCAAGUCAGAUGUCCCUAUUUGGAGACAGCUUUCCCAGCCAUUGAAGGAGACAUUGGAAAAUAUCCUCAACAUGGACUUUACGGGGCUUACA
Molecule: long non-coding RNA, 2158 nt
Filed under: Homo sapiens (human)
Lineage: Eukaryota; Metazoa; Chordata; Mammalia; Primates; Hominidae
Description: HSALNT0164984
Source: RNAcentral